UACUCUGUUUAAUGAAUCUAUAUAAUAUUUGAGUUUGUCUUUAUGAAAUCAGUAAGAAAAAAUAUAAACAUUUAUUUUUUUGCUUUAUUUAUAAAAACAGAGGUUUGCAUGUUUUAUCUUUUUUAAUGUAUUUGAUUAUAAUUUUUUUUUAUCCAACAUCAUCCAUUUUGUCUUUACAAAUAUAGGUCAUGGUAUCAUUGGCCAAUUAGCAUAUAAUAAUGUGGCAUUUGCAGUCUGGCCUUUGCUAGCUUUGCCACGUUUUUAUUUCUCGUCUGAUCGUUUUACUCACAUAAACUGUAUUUUAAUUUGGAUAAAUUUUCAAAAAAGCCGCUUAUCAUCUACAUCACUGAUGUCCUUUCUGAACUUUCUGAAUUUGCCGAACUGGCAAAUUAAAAGAACUCGGUGGCCACUGCUUAGCAAUGAAUUAAACAUACAAUAUUUUAAUGAAGCAAAGUGAAAGUGAAACAUCGGAAAAAGGGUCUCAGACGUUUGCCUGAAAAAAGAAAUGUGUACAGUUUCCGUACUUUUUGGGUAGAAUAUUUUCUAUUUGGUGUGGUCCUGAAUUAUUUAUUUUUUUUGUCAAUUCCCAGCAAUGUGUGCCCAAAGCUGUUUUGGAGAAAAAUGUUUCUGGAUGUUCAUGGCCCUUCUUAUUAUGAUAUUAAAAUUAAAGCCAUAAAAGUCAGGGAGAAAAUCUUUUUCAAAAAAAUGUAAAAAGAGUCCAUUUGCAUGAAUUUAAUUUACUGGUGGGCCAAAUUUGUAACAUUCUUGAACUGAGGUCAGGAGCCACACAAAAUUAUUCCAAGGGCCACAUAUGGCCCCUGGAUUAAGCUUUGGACACCCCUAAUCUACAAGUUACCCUUGUGGAGUCUUGUGCAGCCUUUGCAUCUGCCCUGCAUGGAUGCUUUACCAAGUGCAGUGGAACAAAAUAUUUCUCAGGGAUCAACUGUGGAGACAGCCAGAAUGGAGGCAGCGAUUGUCACGCUCGUGAUGACAAGCAUAUUCGGGCUGCCUGCUUUUGGACAAAGUCUGGGCCACCCAGUCACUACAGGUGCCAGGGGUUCUCUGACACAUUUUUACUGCAAGCCUCCAGGAUGUGCUGCCAAUGUGGCCAGAGUGUUUUGUGAUGACAAAUACUUUGAGCGUGGCCCACUCCCAGACUGCUCAGGACCUCCACAGCUCUAUACAGUGUGCCAGCUGAAUGGUCGUGCACUUGUUUCCAGCCCAGCUGGGUCUAGCUGUGAAUUUGAGGAAGAUGGUGCAUACAUUCUAACGCAAAGGUGUACAGACAUCGACCCCAUCUGCCUUUGGAUUCAUGCUACCUCUCCAUCACCAACCCAUUCAAACAAUGGGGAGAAAGCGGCGGGUGUCAGUCCAGGAUACACUGCUAUAGCAGCUACCUGUUUCACCUGCUCAAUCAGCUCUGCUGUAGAUUCUGUCUGCUGGCCCAACAGGCAACUCUGUCUAGUGACCUUUCCAGCCAAAUGAAUACAGUGUGUGACUGCAACAUCCUUCCCUCUUUGGGGUGGGCUUGAGUACAGUUCACUGCUAAUGAUGGCAAACGGAUUCGACUGCUUCCUACUGAGAACUGACGACAGUUAUACUUAUUGUGCCCAUAAGGAAAACUAUUUCUGAUAAGUAUGUUUGGUUAAAAACUUGCGUAUGAAUGCUGCUUUCGCUGAAAUAGCAGAAAUAUUUGUUCUGUUUGUUAGCGCCUAUAGAGGAGGUGACUGCUUGAAGGUAAAAUAUAGAAGGAUAAGGUCCAAAAAUGUGUCAGAACCUGGAAGUUGUAAGUUAGCCAAAAUGUCUGUUUCAACUCUAAACAAGAAAAUGCUUUUACAAGUAGAUCAUGUGGUACUGACGAAGACUUUAAUUUGUGAUUUUCAUCAUGCACUUAGUACAAAAGCAGGUCAGGGUCAAGCAAGGGGUUGGUCCCUUCUUUUUGUUUUGGUCUGCAAUCCAGUUUUUGUGUAUUGAUCAGUAUGUUAAAAAGCAAGACUAGAGGAAGAGUUAGUAUUUAAUAGAUGGUAAAAUAUACGUAAACAUUAUUUAUAUUCAGAUGACUUAUCAAUAUAAGUUUCACCCAGAUAACGUUUAGGUACUAAAACCUUAAAAUCUAACUACCAAUAACCUAUCCAUUGGGCUGAUUACAUUACUGAAUAACAACAAACAUGCUUUACAAACUGUCUGUGAUACAUGAACAGGUAUGAACCUGUUUCAACCCCAAAGCUGAGCUGACCCUUUAAAUAACAUAAAACCUUAGAAUAAUCAAUAGAUGGCACUGUUGCUUUGCAAAUAACUUUGGUUGUAUUACCUGGUCUUCUGUACUUAUAUUGAUUUAAAGCGGCAUUGAGAAGGUUAAGAAAGUCGAGCUUCCUUCCACUCUCCAGAAAUAUGCAUGUUGGGUUAAUUUGUUUCUCACAUUUUCCCUCAGGAAUGUUCUGUGAUAGACUGGGGACUUGUGCAGGGUAUACUCGUCCCUUGCCAAGUGACUUGGAUGGGUGUUAAAUUUAGAAAGUUUGGCUUUUUGCUGCUAACCUAUGUUGUUUGCUGUUAUCUGUCCACUUGCAUCACUGAGGGCCAAAACCUCCUUACAAACGCUGACUGUGACGUGAGAUCUGAAGUUUUGUUUAUUCUAUUUGUAAAUGGUGCAUGUGUCCUCAAUAUUAAUCCUUUCAUUCCACAGUUGGUGUUGUUGCACUUCUAGGAGCCAUUGGUGUACUAGUCUACUGUUCUAAUAGACGCAGUCGAAGGCUAAACCAGGAGCAAAACAGUGACCCUGAUGUGGAUGAACAUCUAACAGACAUCCAGCCCUCUGGAGACACAACUGAGAG
This is an RNA transcript of Girardinichthys multiradiatus, 2831 nucleotides long. RefSeq lists it as uncharacterized. The record is from RefSeq and is a predicted model, not a curated record. The transcript is spliced from 8 exons. NCBI's taxonomy places the organism in Eukaryota, Metazoa, Chordata, Actinopteri, Cyprinodontiformes, Goodeidae.